UAGGGAAUCUUCCACAAUGGACGCAAGUCUGAUGGAGCAACGCCGCGUGAGUGAAGAAGGUUUUCGGAUCGUAAAGCUCUGUUGUUGGUGAAGAAGGAUAGAGGCAGUAACUGGUCUUUAUUUGACGGUAAUCAACCAGAAAGUCACGGCUAACUACGUGCCAGCAGCCGCGGUAAUACGUAGGUGGCAAGCGUUGUCCGGAUUUAUUGGGCGUAAAGCGAGCGCAGGCGGAAUGAUAAGUCUGAUGUGAAAGCCCACGGCUCAACCGUGGAACUGCAUCGGAAACUGUCAUUCUUGAGUGCAGAAGAGGAGAGUGGAACUCCAUGUGUAGCGGUGGAAUGCGUAGAUAUAUGGAAGAACACCAGUGGCGAAGGCGGCUCUCUGGUCUGCAACUGACGCUGAGGCUCGAAAGCAUGGGUAGCGAACAGGAUUAGAUACCCUGGUAGUCCAUGCCGUAAACGAUGAGCGCUAGGUGUUGGGGACUUUCCGGUCCUCAGUGCCGCAGCAAA
Molecule: ribosomal RNA, 509 nt
Filed under: uncultured bacterium
Lineage: Bacteria
Description: partial 16S ribosomal RNA
Rfam family: Bacterial small subunit ribosomal RNA
Source: RNAcentral